RNAcentral lists this ribosomal RNA (428 nucleotides) under uncultured bacterium. Its description in RNAcentral is "bacterial SSU rRNA". It matches the Rfam family "Bacterial small subunit ribosomal RNA", at positions 355 to 774 of the family's 1533-position model. The record is from RNAcentral.
UGGGGAAUCUUCCGCAAUGGGCGAAAGCCUGACGGAGCAAUGCCGCGUGAGUGAAGAAGGCCUUCGGGUUGUAAAACUCUGUCCUAUUUGAAGAGAGAGUUGUGUGUGAAUAAUGCAUGACUAGGACGGUAAAAUAGGAGGAAGCCCCGGCUAACUACGUGCCAGCAGCCGCGGUAAUACGUAGGGGGCAAGCGUUGUCCGGAAUCACUGGGCGUAAAGCGCACGCAGGCGGCGUGACGCGUCAGAAGUGAAAUCCCCGGGCUCAACCUGGGAACUGCUUUUGAAACGGUCAUGCUUGAAUCAUGGAGAGGGUAGCGGAAUUCCGAGUGUAGAGGUGAAAUUCGUAGAUAUUCGGAAGAACACCGGUGGCGAAGGCGGCUACCUGGCCAUGUAUUGACGCUCAGGUGCGAAAGCGUGGGGAGCAAACA